This 288-nucleotide long non-coding RNA is filed under the name Oryza brachyantha (malo sina). Its description in RNAcentral is "long non-coding RNA (OBRA_LNC002612)". The record is from RNAcentral. Lineage: Eukaryota; Viridiplantae; Streptophyta; Magnoliopsida; Poales; Poaceae.
GAAGAACACCUGAGGGGAAUUGGCCGAAGAGUUGUAUAAUAUUGGUGUACGUGUUCUGCUAUAACAAAUUAGCUUUGAUGCUGCAUAAAUUAAUAUCAACAGAUUAGCAAAGGAAAAUUUGCAUCCCUCAGCACUAUGGCCUUGAGCUGUGCAGCCUUGUUGUUGAUUCUUCUCCAAGACACUGUUCCACAAGCACUCCCAUUUCUGCUCAUUAGCUGUUCAUAUAGAAUGCGGAGUACUACAUGUUGUAGGUGGACUAAUUGUGCAAUUCUUACAAACUCCCAAUGA